Molecule: transfer RNA, 90 nt
Rfam family: tRNA
About the family: Transfer RNA (tRNA) molecules are approximately 80 nucleotides in length. Their secondary structure includes four short double-helical elements and three loops (D, anti-codon, and T loops). Further hydrogen bonds mediate the characteristic L-shaped molecular structure. tRNAs have two regions of fundamental functional importance: the anti-codon, which is responsible for specific mRNA codon recognition, and the 3' end, to which the tRNAs corresponding amino acid is attached (by aminoacyl-tRNA synthetases). tRNAs cope with the degeneracy of the genetic code in two manners: having more than one tRNA (with a specific anti-codon) for a particular amino acid; and 'wobble' base-pairing, i.e. permitting non-standard base-pairing at the 3rd anti-codon position.
Source: Rfam
GGAGGAUUACCCAAGUCUGGCUGAAGGGAACGGUCUUGAAAACCGUCAGGUGGGUAAAACCACGCAAGAGUUCGAAUCUCUUAUCCUCCU